Molecule: transfer RNA, 77 nt
Filed under: Gemmatimonadota bacterium
Lineage: Bacteria; Pseudomonadati; Gemmatimonadota
Also listed under: 1 other name
Description: Gemmatimonadetes bacterium (soil metagenome) tRNA-Gly
Rfam family: tRNA
About the family: Transfer RNA (tRNA) molecules are approximately 80 nucleotides in length. Their secondary structure includes four short double-helical elements and three loops (D, anti-codon, and T loops). Further hydrogen bonds mediate the characteristic L-shaped molecular structure. tRNAs have two regions of fundamental functional importance: the anti-codon, which is responsible for specific mRNA codon recognition, and the 3' end, to which the tRNAs corresponding amino acid is attached (by aminoacyl-tRNA synthetases). tRNAs cope with the degeneracy of the genetic code in two manners: having more than one tRNA (with a specific anti-codon) for a particular amino acid; and 'wobble' base-pairing, i.e. permitting non-standard base-pairing at the 3rd anti-codon position.
Source: RNAcentral
GCGGGAAUAGCUCAGCUGGCUAGAGCACAACCUUGCCAAGGUUGGGGUCGCGGGUUCGAAUCCCGUUUCCCGCUCCA